GGGGCCCUGUGAUCAGCGCUCUGUUCUUGCACUUGUCUUUAUUUAUAUGCAAAAUAAUACAACAGUGAAUACGUCUAUUCAUAGGCAGAGGAAAGUUAGUGCGUAGGGAGUGAAGAUAAGAGUGGUUUAGGUGUAUGCGUGUGUGUUGUGAGAUUCAGAAAGACGCAGCCCUUCUUCUUGUUAGGGAGCGCAGAUAAAAGUAUCCAGCUCUCCUCUUCCUGCUUGUUCAGCUAUUAUCGCUGUGAGAAAGAAUUUAUAAAACAGUCUUGUAGUGGACAACAGUCUAAGUCAUCAAAAGGUCAACAUACAGUAUUCUAUCAUAUGCAAACUUAUAUCAUUAAAAGCUUAUACUGACUACUAAGUACAAUUUUCCAUUGACAUUCCCUCCUGUUGUCAGUAUAACUUUGAAGUGAGAUAUCAGUAUGUAACAUCUUGUUGUACAUUUUCUGUCACAUCAUCAUUAAUCACACAAAGUCUUCAUGUUCCAACAGGUCGGGGUCAUCAUCAUCAUCAUUUGUCACGGCUAUGUAUGCAGCAACAGUGGAAACAAUUAUACGGUUAAUCAUGAGUUUUAGACAUGGCAGGAUACAUGUUACAAAAACACAAAAUAAAAGUAAGAAUACAAAAAGGGAUAAAUAGAAUAAAAAAGAAUAAGAAUACAAAGGAAUUGAAAGUAUUUCAAGUAUUUCAAGUAUUGAAGUCUAUUGCACCGUUGGUUUUUAACAAAAAGUAUUGCACAGUGAAAAGGAGCAGUAGUCUUUUAGCAGUCACUUGUAUUAUUUACAUAGGCCUGAUUUUGGGCCUGCUGGAUCUGUCUCAAGGCGUUCAGGGCAUCAGUCAUGUUUGAUGAGUGUACAUUGUCUGAUGUGUGUGUGUCAUUUCUCACUCAAUCAACAAGUGCACGUCUGUUCAGGUGUGUGUUUCUCUUCAUUCUGAGUCAGUGUGUGUAGAUGUGUAUGUUUGUGUAUGUUGGCGUGUUUAUCACUUUCCUGUUCUGGUGUUUUGGGUAAACCACGGCCUGAAGCGUGCCCUGGGGUCCUGCCCUCCUCCUUUUCAGUCCGGUUGCGACCAUUGCUGCUGCUGCUCAUAGUUCAGUCUGUCCUGGUCCUGGCCCCAAUUGGGGCAGUCCUUUCUCCAGUGUCCAUGCUCACCACAGGUGAAACCUGCAUCUUCUUCUGUGUUUUGUCCAUUCUGAGGUGCCUUUUGACCUCAGUUGCUCCUCCUGUCUCUGGCACGCCCUUUCUUCUGCUGCCCGAUCAUCCGUGUUGGUCCGUCACUGUCCUGUACAGUGUUAAUGCAGAGUUAUCAAGGUCAGCAUUCUUUUGCUCGGCCUUACUUUUCAUUCGGGCUUAAUGGGCGUCUCGUCACAGCUCUGUCAGCUGAAGCUGUCUGGAAAUCUCCCCCGUGUAGUGAAACGGGCCUUGGAUUUAACGCUCUCCGUUUCUGCUGCAUGAG
Long non-coding RNA from Oreochromis aureus, 1455 nucleotides. The record is from Ensembl. Lineage: Eukaryota; Metazoa; Chordata; Actinopteri; Cichliformes; Cichlidae.